GAUGAACGCUGGCGGCGUGCCUAAUACAUGCAAGUAGAACGCUGAAGGAGGAGCUUGCUCUUCUGGAUGAGUUGCGAACGGGUGAGUAACGCGUAGGUAACCUGCCUGGUAGCGGGGGAUAACUAUUGGAAACGAUAGCUAAUACCGCAUGACAACAGUUAUUGCAUGAUAACUGUUUAAAAGGGGCAACUGCUCCACUACCAGAUGGACCUGCGUUGUAUUAGCUAGUUGGUGAGGUAACGGCUCACCAAGGCGACGAUACAUAGCCGACCUGAGAGGGUGAUCGGCCACACUGGGACUGAGGCACGGCCCAGACUCCUACGGGAGGCAGCAGUAGGGAAUCUUCGGCAAUGGACGGAAGUCUGACCGAGCAACGCCGCGUGAGUGAAGAAGGUUUUCGGAUCGUAAAGCUCUGUUGUAAGAGAAGAACGAGUGUGAGGGUGGAAAGUUCACACUGUGACGGUAUCUUACCAGAAAGGGACGGCUAACUACGUG
RNAcentral lists this ribosomal RNA (495 nucleotides) under uncultured bacterium. Its description in RNAcentral is "partial 16S ribosomal RNA". It matches the Rfam family "Bacterial small subunit ribosomal RNA", at positions 28 to 507 of the family's 1533-position model. The record is from RNAcentral.